UUCUCAUAUUUAUGUGAACAACUCGGAAUUUUGUAUUCAAUUGAAAAAGCAGACUUGCAAUUGGCGAGGUUUGAAUGUAUUUGACUUCGUCACAUGACAGCUCGCAUAUCUGUCAAGUUAGAAACGUAAACAAACACGGACAACCGCCCGUAAAGAUUGUGUGCAGAAUAAUCGUGAAAUUUUAUGUGAAAACUCGGGAAAAGGUAAGUGUUCUGUGCAUAUUUCAGUAAAUAAACUAUCUUUUAAUGCUUGAACACAUUAUUCCACAGGAAAAACAUCAUUUCAUCCCGAAAUUUGGCAACAUUCGUCCGAGUAUGAUCGAGCAGCUGUGUGUGUGUGUGUAUGCCGACGAAAUACGACGCCGUUUCUACAACAAUCACUAAAGCCGGCUGUGAUCGUGAUCGGCACAUUCUCAACUGGACCAACACACCGGUCGUUGUGUAUCUUCAAGCAAACCAACGUUUCCAUACACCACAAAAUAGCAUGGAAAGGAAAGUAUUAUAAAAUAAUGUCAUAUUUGAAAGCAUUCUAAUCUUUCAUUGUUAUUUUUCCACUGCAAACAGGACAUUGUAUCACCGCAUCGACAAGUGGUGUUUAUGUGCAAGUGUUGCGAAGAAGUGUGUUGUACGGUGUAUUAUGUGUUUUGCUUUAUUUGUAUCGCUUUGCAAGUGGUACAAUUAGUGCGUUUAAUCGUUGUGCUACUGCUAACGAAAAAACGACCCGAGCAUUAGAAGCGGCAACAAUACAUGUGCCUGACGCAGAGACAACAACGCCGUCGGCAUCCGUUGAUACCAUCCAAAGUGAUGGUUGAAAUCGUAUUUAAACGUGUAAAACCAUAUAUUGGGGCAUGUAAGUAUUGAAUAAUAGUUAAAUAA
RNA transcript from Anopheles arabiensis, 875 nucleotides. RefSeq lists it as uncharacterized. The record is from RefSeq and is a predicted model, not a curated record. NCBI's taxonomy places the organism in Eukaryota, Metazoa, Arthropoda, Insecta, Diptera, Culicidae. The transcript is spliced from 2 exons.